RNAcentral lists this long non-coding RNA (722 nucleotides) under Triticum aestivum (bread wheat). RNAcentral describes it as "long non-coding RNA (TAES_LNC010058)". Lineage: Eukaryota; Viridiplantae; Streptophyta; Magnoliopsida; Poales; Poaceae. The record is from RNAcentral.
UUUCACUUCAUUGCAAACAAAUUAGGUGUGAAAACAAUAAGCCAUAUCACUAACUUCUGCAGAUACAUAAAGGAGUACAAAUUAGUUAAUCAUAACUAUUUCUACAAUGACAUUGCAUCUUCAUACACAGUGCCACGUUUUCAAAGCUAUCCUAAAGCCAGAUAAACUACCGUUACUGCUAAUACUAUAGUCAACAGACUAGAAGGAGAUCCACCAAUUGCUAAGCAAGUUGAGACCAAAAUGAUUGUUCCCCAUAUGAACAUCCUCAACCUCCAGACUGAACCUUGAAGCUUUGUUAUACAAAGUCUGAACUCUGCAUUCUGCCUAUUUUUCUCAUCAAUAUCUUGUUCAAUCUUCAUCCUCAGGCAACAAAUUAACUUAUCUUGUUCAGCAACCUUUCUGUUUGCAUCCUCCAGCAUCUCCUUAAGUGGGGCUCCACAAUAAUCCACCAUAUGCUCAACGUACUCCAUCAAUAGAUCUCUCCAGAUCCAAAUGCUGCAUCUUCCUGGCUGCUCAUAAUUUAUUGUGGCUAUGGAUAUUAUAUUUGUCCUAGCAUGAAAAAAUUAGUAAAGAAGAACAAUGAACUUACAGUGCUUCCACAUGAAAGGUAUUCUCGCUCUGGAUUGUGUGGGGUACGAGACAUCAUCUUCCUCGCCUCAACCUUGCAUGCACACCUCAGCUCUGGUGGAUCCAAGCUAGUACCAUUGCUAACUGACCUGUAC